RNAcentral lists this long non-coding RNA (1736 nucleotides) under Gossypium barbadense (sea-island cotton). RNAcentral's name for it is "long non-coding RNA (GBAR_LNC004255)". Lineage: Eukaryota; Viridiplantae; Streptophyta; Magnoliopsida; Malvales; Malvaceae. The record is from RNAcentral.
AAAUAUAGUACUGAUUUUAAAACCAAAACACAAUCGUCAAAGGAAUUCUUAAAAAAUAAUUAAUUAAACAAGAACUUAAAAGGAAAUAGGCAUAUGAAACGAAUUGAGGAAAAAAUAAAAAUAAAAAAAACUGAAAUAAAAUUAUAAAAUAACUACUACUAUUAAAAUAAGGAUCCUCGUACAACGCGUGUAUACAUAUAAGGGUUAAUGCUCAAAAUAUUCUAGAUCUCCUAAACAUUCUGAUUAAGCAUGGAUCCAAUUGCAAAUACACUCAAAUUACCAGGUCAAAUAACAAAAAAUAAGCACAUAACUUAUAAUUGAAUAGUAGCGUGAAAGAAGAAGGAUCAAUUUCGAAAUUAUCCCUCUCCAUGAAAAUGAGCGGAUCCUAGGGAGAAAGGAAUCGGAUCGGGUCGAGCAGGCUUAAAUGGCGUCGUUUCAAGGCUACAAAUCCAUGCCUUGAACGUCGUCGUUCCACGGUGCUGAUUAAAAGCAAAAAAAAAUAGCUUCUAGAGCUUAUUUCAGCAGAGCAAAUCGAAAGGGAGGAGAAAACCCUAAGGGUUUGCUCACAUUCGGCCGCCGCUUUCAACAUCAAAAUUGGUGAAUGGUGCCAUUUGAUUCCCCUCGUCACCAACGCCGAUCUUCCCUCAAAAACGACAACCAAUAGAUGUGACCUUUUAAUGAUGAUUUUCAGCCUCAAGACCUCCUAUUCCACUUCAAAUUUGACGAAGCAAAGAGAGAUCAAUGACCGAUCCAUAAGGUGAGAUUUCUUCUCCCUUUCUUCCUAUUAUUUUCUAACUCAAUAAUGAAAAAAAUAAGAAUGAAGUCAUUCAGUUGAAAUUUAAAAGCAAAUAUUAAGCAGAAAAUCACCUUUUCUAAAAAAAACUUGUGAAACGCUCUAUUUUUUAUAUCUAGUGUGCGUAGUAUCUUCCUAAUCCCCUUUGCAGGUACAUUCGAUGGCAUUCUAUAGCCAGAUUUACAGAGUAAAUAAAAAAUAAAAUUACAUUUUCUUGCUGUCAAUCACUGUAAAUUCUGUUAGCUUCUUUCUCGUGCAUUCCUUUGCUGUUUAUUUUCCUUCUCGCAUGUUCCAUUGACGUGGAGGAACGGAGGUGCACUUGCGAUGUAGCGAGGCCACUCGUGAAGGCUGCGGCAUGAGGCUACUGACUUAGGGUUUCAUUUUCUGAAACUGAAGCUUGUAUUAUUUGGGCCAUUGGCUGUGUACUUUGUUGGGUUUAGGUUUUUUAAUUUGGGCCCGUUAUUUUUGGUUGUUGGGCUAUGUAAGAAAUCGACAUUGGACUUUAUUAUUAUUAUUAUUUUAUAUUUUGAUUUGUUUUUUAGUUUGUGUAAGCCCGGGCACAAAUUGGGUCUUACAGCUAGUAUUUAACACCUUUAGUUAUCAAAAUAGGACUUUUACACUGUAUGUGAUUUAGUCCUUUCUCACAAUUGGGCUCACAAUAGCUAAAAUUAAUUCACCAAAAUUUUCAUGCUCCCAUAUAAGCAUGCCACAACACAUAAAAUAAUAUUAAAAAUAAUUUCUCUAUCCUCAGAUUAGUGGUCCUGAAAAUACUGUUCCGACUGGGCCCAAAAUCGGGCUGUUACAAUUCUCUCCCUUAGGGGUUUUCGUCCCCGAAAAUCUUACCGGUGAAUAGAUUUGGGUAUUGGCCUCCAAUGGUCUCCUCGGGUUCCCAUGUGGCUUCUCUGACUCUAUGUCUAUGCCAUAAUAUUUUAAGAAGUGCAAU